UGGGGGGACUGGGGAGCGUUGCCCUGGGAAACGGAAGUGGAAUCAGAAACCCAGAGUUGGCCGGGCGCGGUGGUUCAUGCCUGUAAUCCCAGCGCUUUGGGAGGCCAAGGCGGGCCGAUCACGAGGCUGUCCAGUGACAAACCACAGGCUCUCACAGAUGCCUGCCAAAGCUGGGCAGAAAGUGCUCUGUCCCCAGACCGCCUGCUCGACACCAGCCAGGCCCGGGCAGGGUCCAGAGAGGUGAAAAGCCCAGCUCUGGAUUGGCCACCGUGCUUCCUUCUUGAAAGAUUUCUAAAGCCACCACACUGAGUUUUCUAGGACAAGAAAUUCACAGCCGGGAUCAGCAGUUUCUAUAGAGACCCCAGGAUGAGUCUGGCCAGGACCCAGACAGCCAACAGAGGCUCAGGGAACCUGGCCAGAGACCGAAAGAGAUGCAGAGACACAAAGGCCACACGUGGGAGAGAUACCAGGUUACAGGGCAGACAGAGGGGAACAAGCCAGUCCUACAGCAAGCCCAGAGACAUGGCGGAGAGGUGGCGGCCCCGGGGAUCUGAGAAGGGAGAGGGGUUCCCACCCCACGCAGGGUGGCCUCGGCCAGCCCUCCCUGCAUGGGUCCCCCCUUUGCAAUUACGCAGAAAGCUGCUGGAUACUCCACUGUUUGGUCGUUUCCAUAGUAACCCUGUCCCUGGCAAGAUGCCCAAAUAUUAUUACAACCAUCCAGAGGAGAGAACAAUCCAAGUGGCUGUCUCUCUGAGCGUGUGUAAUAUCCAUCCUGUGUACGUGCCGUCUGGGCCUCCAAAGGUACUUCCUGUGACUGCCUGUCAGUCAUGUGUGUGUCCAGAUGCAUCUAUGUGUGUGUGCAGAGCCACCAACAAACAUGCUGAUGCUGAGCUCUGAUAAUGCCUGGAGUCUCUGUUGCUGGGGUAAAUCGCAUGCCCUCAUCUAUCUCCCGUUCACCCUCAUAUACAUGUGCACGCGUACACACACAUACACACAUAGGCUCCGCACACUUCACAUCGCCCGAGCCACCUCAUUCACACACUCGCUGUUUUCAAAGCAGACACUUGCUC
Molecule: long non-coding RNA, 1070 nt
Organism: Gorilla gorilla gorilla (western lowland gorilla)
Lineage: Eukaryota; Metazoa; Chordata; Mammalia; Primates; Hominidae
Exons: 3
Source: RefSeq, a predicted model, not a curated record